CGCCACCCUACCGACACACAGCCUCCUGCCUCACAUAUCAGGUCACAGGACUACGUUCACAAGUGUCGUAACUCUAGCUGAAAACAAGAAGGUGAGUGGAUAUCCAAGUGUACCCCGAACACCAUUACUGUGUUUCCCUGCUGGCAUCAUUUCAUUUUCUUUUGAGUAUCUACAGUCAUGUUCCCCAGGCAGCACCAUAUGGAGCAGAGUGGGGCAUAUAGAGAAAAGAGGGAUGGAUGGCAUUUUUCCCUUGAGC
RNAcentral lists this long non-coding RNA (256 nucleotides) under Anas zonorhyncha (Eastern spot-billed duck). Its description in RNAcentral is "lncRNA (ENSAZOG00000006483.1)". Lineage: Eukaryota; Metazoa; Chordata; Aves; Anseriformes; Anatidae. The record is from RNAcentral.